AGAGUUUGAUCCUGGCUCAGGAUGAACGCUAGCGGCAGGCCUAAUACAUGCAAGUCGAGGGGCAGCAGGGAUAGCAAUAUUCGCUGGCGACCGGCGCACGGGUGCGUAACGCGUAUGCAACUUACCUUCAACUGGAAGAUAGCCCCUCGAAAGAGGGAUUAAUACUCCAUAGUAUUACGAAACGGCAUCGUUUUGUAAUUAAAGCUCCGGCGGUUGAAGAUAGGCAUGCGUGACAUUAGCUAGUUGGUGAGGUAAUGGCUCACCAAGGCUACGAUGUCUAGGGGAUCUGAGAGGAUUAACCCCCACACUGGUACUGAGACACGGACCAGACUCCUACGGGAGGCAGCAGUAAGGAAUAUUGGUCAAUGGAGGCAACUCUGAACCAGCCAUGCCGCGUGAAGGAUGAAGGCGCUAUGCGUCGUAAACUUCUUUUAUAUGGGAAAAAACCUCUGAACGUGUUCGGAGCUGAUGGUACCAUAAGAAUAAGGAUCGGCUAACUCCGUGCCAGCAGCCGCGGUAAUACGGAGGAUCCAAGCGUUAUCCGGAUUCAUUGGGUUUAAAGGGUGCGUAGGCGGCUUGUUAAGUCAGCGGUGAAAUCUCAGGGCUUAACCCUGAAACUGCCAUUGAUACUGACGAGCUUGAGUACACUUGAAGUGGGCGGAAUGUGUCGUGUAGCGGUGAAAUGCUUAGAUAUGACACAGAACACCGAUUGCGAAGGCAGCUCACUAAAUUGUCACUGACGCUGAGGCACGAAAGCGUGGGGAUCAAACAGGAUUAGAUACCCUGGUAGUCCACGCUGUAAACGUUGAUAACUCGAUGUGUGCGAUAUACAGUACGCGUCUAAGCGAAAGCAUUAAGUUAUCCACCUGGGGAGUACGACCGCAAGGUUGAAACUCAAAGGAAUUGACGGGGGCCCGCACAAGCGGAGGAGCAUGUGGUUUAAUUCGAUGAUACGCGAGGAACCUUACCUGGGCUUGAAAGUCAGUGACCGUUCCUGAAAGGGAAUUUUCCGCAAGGACACGAAACUAGGUGCUGCAUGGCUGUCGUCAGCUCGUGCCGUGAGGUGUUGGGUUAAGUCCCGCAACGAGCGCAACCCCUAUCUUUAGUUGCCAUCAGGUUAUGCUGGGGACUCUAAAGAAACUGCCCGCGCAAGCGGUGAGGAAGGUGGGGAUGACGUCAAGUCAGCACGGCCCUUACGUCCAGGGCUACACACGUGCUACAAUGGUCACUACAGAGGGUUGCUACACCGCGAGGUGAUGCUAAUCUCCAAAGGUGAUCUCAGUUCGGAUUGGAGUCUGCAACUCGACUCCAUGAAGCUGGAUUCGCUAGUAAUCGGAUAUCAGCAAUGAUCCGGUGAAUACGUUCCCGGGCCUUGUACACACCGCCCGUCAAACAAUGGAAGCUGAGGGUACCUAAAGUCCAUCACCGCAAGGAGUGGCCUAGGGUAAAACUGGUAACUGGUGUUAAGUCGUAACAAGGUA
This 1481-nucleotide ribosomal RNA is filed under the name metagenome. Its description in RNAcentral is "bacterial SSU rRNA". It matches the Rfam family "Bacterial small subunit ribosomal RNA". The record is from RNAcentral.